AAAAUUGAUUUGGGACCGCACAAGCGGUGGAUGAUGUGGAUUAAUCUGAUGCAACGCGAAAAACCUUACCUACCCUUGACAUGUCUGGAAUCCCGAAGAGAUUUGGGAGUGCUCGCAAGAGAACCGGAACACAGGUGCUGCAUGGCUGUCGUCAGCUCGUGUCGUGAGAUGUUGGGUUAAGUCCCGCAACGAGCAACCCUUGUCAUUAGUUGCUACGAAAGGCACUUGUCGAGAUCUGCUGGUGACAAACCGAGGAAGGUGGGAUGACGUCAAGUCCUCAUGGCCCUUAUGGGUAGGGCUUCACACGUCAUACAAUGGUCGGGACAGAGGGCUGCCAACCCGCGAGGGGGAGCCAAUCCCAGAAACCCGAUCGUAGUCCGGAUCGCAGUCUGCAACUCGACUGCGUGGGAAUGGAAUCGCUAGUAAUCGUGAUCAGCAUGUCGCGGUGAAUAGUUCCCGGGCCUUGUACACACCGCCCGUCACACCAUGGGAGUGGGUUUUACCAGAAGUAGUUAGCCUAACCGUAAGGAGGGCGAUUACCACGGUAGGAUUCAUGACUGGGGUGAAGUCGUAACAAGGUAA
RNAcentral lists this unclassified non-coding RNA (582 nucleotides) under uncultured Bordetella sp. Its description in RNAcentral is "partial 16S-23S ribosomal RNA intergenic spacer". It matches the Rfam family "Bacterial small subunit ribosomal RNA", at positions 903 to 1499 of the family's 1533-position model. The record is from RNAcentral. Lineage: Bacteria; Pseudomonadati; Pseudomonadota; Betaproteobacteria; Burkholderiales; Alcaligenaceae.